Astatotilapia calliptera (eastern happy) is the source of this 1545-nucleotide long non-coding RNA. The record is from Ensembl. Lineage: Eukaryota; Metazoa; Chordata; Actinopteri; Cichliformes; Cichlidae.
UGGUAAUCUUAAUUAUGCAUGUAUAUAUCCACACAUAUAUCUGUAUGCACCAUUUCUUCUCCUUAAAUAAUGAGCAAAAGUUUGCAUGGUCACACAUACAGAAACUAUUAACACAUAUGUUUUUAAAAACAUUUAUUUUAUAGACAGAUAUCUCUACAGAUAGCUAGAUAGAUAGCUAGAUAUAGAUAGAUAUACACCAUUUUUUUUAAUUUUCACAUAUAUUUUAUGUGAUAUGUUCAUUUCAUCAUCUUCCUGAAAAUGGGAUGUUAUGUUCUCCGUUUCCCUGCUUCAUAUUCAACAUAUUUGCUUGGGAACAUUUCUUAAAAAAACCCCAAAACAAAACAAAAAAAAACCCAACUCAGCUCAUCUCUGCAUUUGAGAGCUACUGGAGACAUUGAUCUGUACAGUAAAGGAAGUCAAGCAAUAAAUACCAGUCUCAGAAAGCAAACAUACUGUGUAGUAGGAUGGCAAACAAGGCUGAUUGUUAAAAUCAUUUGAAGACUAUGCACAAGAGUGAAAAUAACUUGGCAUGUGAAGACCCAGCUCAGUAUUAUUUCUGUCUCUCCACUCCAUUUUCUACAUUCCGCUUUUCUAGUUUUAGAUGUCUUAGUUUCUGUAUUUAAUGCACAAAUUUCUAUUUCUCCAUUUUCUUUCCCGUGCUAGAAGAACAUCGCUUAGAGGCAUUACAUCUUACACAUAUGUACUCAUACAUAUUGUAUGGUCCGGACAUAAAAUUUAAUAGUAGUAUAGUGCUACUGCAGUCACAACCACAAGCAUUCGUAGCAUACAUGAAAACAGUGUCUCAAAACCCCACGUUUGUGAAUUCAGGACUGCAUACUUGUGGGAUUCAAGAUUUUCAGAAUGACCACAGGAGGGGAAAAGCACAGAAAGGUUAGAAUAACUUAGACUGAGUGUGCAGACACAUGAUAUUUAAUGGGUUCUUAAGGAGAUGGAGUUUCCUACUUAAAUCUGUCAAAAACAAAAAACAAAAACAACAACAACAACAACAACUGAAAGAGAAGGAGGUGGGCUUCUGCGUAGGGGAGAGUGGGGGAGGGGGUGUUCGGUGUCUGGGUAAACAACAAUUAAGAAACUGUAUGGGAAAAACAAAAAACAAAAACAGGCAAUCCCCUUCCACCCCUUUCCACACACACACACACACACACCUCUGUCUUACUUUUUCCUCUCCUGUGUUUCUAACCAAACACAUGCAACAGCUGGAUGCUGCUGAAUCAGUCUCUUGGGCAGGAAGUUACAUUUCCUGGCAAGCUGCUCUUGAAAUGUGGACAGUCAGUUAGAAAAACAUGAUUACAGGAUGACAAUCACACACACACACACAUCCACACAAAUAUGUCCACUCACACUCCUUACUGUGCACACUGUGUUAAAUAUCUGUGUGUAUAGCUUGGUAAAUGACAGCUUCCCAAACUGAUACUGAGCAUGUAAACAAACUCCGCUGGUGUUUAUAACACUGACCAGCCUACGCGCACACAUACAUGGAUGUGAAUACACCCACCCACAAGUGUCCUCACAUGCCUCACUGAC